UCCAGGGUUCAAGUCCCUGUUCGGGCGA
RNAcentral lists this non-coding RNA (28 nucleotides) under Drosophila melanogaster (fruit fly). The record is from RNAcentral. Lineage: Eukaryota; Metazoa; Arthropoda; Insecta; Diptera; Drosophilidae. RNAcentral also lists the same sequence under 3 other names.